UACAGAGGGUGCAAGCGUUAAUCGGAAUUACUGGGCGUAAAGCGCACGUAGGCGGUUUUUUAAGUCAGAUGUGAAAGCCCCGGGCUCAACCUGGGAAUUGCAUUUGAAACUGGGAAACUAGAGUGUGUGAGAGGGGGGUAGAAUUCCAAGUGUAGCGGUGAAAUGCGUAGAGAUUUGGAGGAAUACCAGUGGCGAAGGCGGCCCCCUGGCACAACACUGACACUGAGGUGCGAAAGCAUGGGGAGCAAACAGG
This 253-nucleotide ribosomal RNA is filed under the name uncultured bacterium. RNAcentral's name for it is "partial 16S ribosomal RNA". It matches the Rfam family "Bacterial small subunit ribosomal RNA", at positions 524 to 776 of the family's 1533-position model. The record is from RNAcentral.